GCCUAGAGUUGUAGGCUUUGCCUGCUAUCUCUUACCCAUGUCUUUUGAGUACUUACGUUUCCUCGGCGGGUCCGCCCGCCGAUUGGACAAUUUAAACCAUUUGCAGUUGCAAUCAGCGUCUGAAAAACUUUAAUAGUUA
Molecule: unclassified non-coding RNA, 139 nt
Filed under: soil metagenome
Description: partial internal transcribed spacer 1
Source: RNAcentral